RNAcentral lists this long non-coding RNA (266 nucleotides) under Sinocyclocheilus grahami. RNAcentral describes it as "lncRNA (ENSSGRG00000029115.1)". The record is from RNAcentral. Lineage: Eukaryota; Metazoa; Chordata; Actinopteri; Cypriniformes; Cyprinidae.
GAUGGCAGUUGUGGUGUAAGGAUGCUGAAAGAGAUUGCCAUGCUAGAAAGUAUACCUGCUUUAAUCAUUGAAAGGUGGAAAAAGCAUGUGAUGCUGAUUGAAUGUGACCGCUGAACUGUAUCAAGAGAAAUGCCAUCAGGUAAGCUGGACAACAUGGAGCUGGAUGUAAUGUUAUUCUUCUUUAAGGAUUGAUGCCCGCUCGUUGGCUUCGCGGUCCAUGUUGAUCUGACUCAUGCAAGAGUUCUAAGCCCUUCUAGCCUUGUUUG